CCAAGAGUUCACAUCGACGGGGAGGUUUGGCACCUCGAUGUCGGCUCAUCGCAUCCUGGGGCUGUAGUCGGUCCCAAGGGUUGGGCUGUUCGCCCAUUAAAGCGGUACGCGAGCUGGGUUCAGAACGUCGUGAGACAGUUCGGUCCCUAUCCGUCGUGGGCGUAGGAAAUUUGAGAGGAGCUGUCCUUAGUACGAGAGGACCGGGAUGGACAUACCUCUGGUGUACCAGUUGUCGUGCCAACGGCAUAGCUGGGUAGCUAUGUGUGGACGGGAUAAGUGCUGAAAGCAUCUAAGCAUGAAGCCCCCCUCAAGAUGAGAUUUCCCAACUUCGGUUAUAAGAUCCCUCAAAGAUGAUGAGGUUAAUAGGUUCGAGGUGGAAGCAUGGUGACAUGUGGAGCUGACGAAUACUAA
Molecule: ribosomal RNA, 411 nt
Filed under: Staphylococcus aureus
Lineage: Bacteria; Bacillati; Bacillota; Bacilli; Caryophanales; Staphylococcaceae
Description: partial 23S ribosomal RNA
Rfam family: Bacterial large subunit ribosomal RNA
Source: RNAcentral